Artibeus jamaicensis (Jamaican fruit-eating bat) is the source of this 1625-nucleotide long non-coding RNA. RefSeq lists it as uncharacterized. Lineage: Eukaryota; Metazoa; Chordata; Mammalia; Chiroptera; Phyllostomidae. The transcript is spliced from 4 exons. The record is from RefSeq and is a predicted model, not a curated record.
AUCACGCUAGGUCAGCCAUGAGCUCAAGGUUAAAUGCUAAGUCAGCCUCAAGCAAAACAGUGACAUUCCACAGCACAGAGGAGAUGCUAGGCAAGACAGCAAUGUGGACGAUGAGUGCAGUUCCGGAAUCCAAGGUUGUAUCUGAUUCUUCCGCUGUUUGAAAAGAUGCUGUUUCAAUGAUUUACAUGCAGACUUCCUCUUCUUUGGGAUUUUUUACUGACGAGAGAAGGGAACCUCUGUGUAUUGGUUGCCACUGUGCCAGGAGGCCAGCUGCAUUGGGCACCUUCCCAGUAGCCGUGCUGCACAGCAGUUUUCUUCUCACGCUAGCAGCCUGGGAUCUUCCUGACCUCUGGCUCGCCCACAAGAAGCUCAUGAUGACAUUGUUUUCAGAAGCCGAUACUGUAUCCUCCUGUCUCUACUUGCAAGAAAAUAACUGGGCUCCCAUAUAUUUACAGAGCAAUUAUCACAACAGUCUGGUUUUAGAAGAUUGCCACAACCCCCAAAAGAUGUUUCACACCCAUUUGUGGUAACAAGGAGACUUUAGCUGAGGAGCUGGGAAAGAUUCCCGCAUUCCUUCUGGCUGGGCCUCUGCAGUGAUGUUGGAAAGAGCCUGGAGCCACGAGGGGCCACGUGGAGAACUGAGACUGAAACAGUAACUGCAGAAGGAGGAUCCAGGAGGUAGAGAAAACGAGUCCUGAAGUCAAGAGUGGAGACUCUGAUCAAACCAGACCUGAAGCCUGUGCUUCCCUUGGACUUUUCAGCUGCAGGGGCUAAGAAGUUCCCUUGUGUCUUAAGCCAGUUUGACGUGGGGCUUUCAAUCUCCUGCUACAGGAAUAAUUUCAGACUCUAAUGAGUCUGAUGCCUUGCUGAAACCUUUGUGAACUGAGUUGACAAAGGCCCAUGUUCAGAUCUGUUGUAAUUACAGAAUUAUUUUACACACGGCCAUAGAGCCGUUUAACAAAUGAGAAUUCAGCCCUGCUGGGAAAAUUGCUUUCCCAGGACACAUGGCAGCAUCUGAACAAAGCCUCCGCUCUGUGUACUGCUGGAUUCGAUCUCGUCUCUCUGCCUCCAGUUAUCAUCAUCAUCAUUGCCAUUAUCUCUCAUAAGAUGUUUAAUAUGAAACAGACCUUAUUUAAGUAUUUUGCAAACAUUAAGUCACAUAAUCUUUACAACCAACCACUCUACGGGUAACUUCUGUUAUUAUUCCCAUUUUACAGAUGAGAAAACUGAAGUCUAGAGAGACUAAGCAACUUGUCCAAGGUCUUAUAGCUUAGCACAGCGGGGCAGGACUUGGACGCGGGUCCACCGUCCGCAGGGGCCAUGUAAAUGGCCUUCCUGUAAAUUCUCACCAACGUCACGGCAGCUUUUAAUCCCCAUUGCGCUGGUCUUUUAUUCAGAGGCACUGCCUUUCUCUGAACUUUUAGUUCAUUAUAAAAAUAGAAAACAAGCAAAAGCCCCAAACAUAUUCAAUAGUCUCUUCAAUAACAUAAAACAGUUUUUAAUCUAGCCAAUUUCCAGGAGUCAUAAACUCUCAUGGUUUUUACGGCUUUGUCCUGCGCUUCUCAACACACAGUGCAGAUAAGGAUGAUUCAUGGCAAAAGCCUUGUUUUAUGCCUUCUCGUCAU